ACUAAGCGUACACGGUGGAUGCCCUGGCAGUCAGAGGCGAUGAAGGGCGUACUAAUCUGCGAUAAGCGCCGGUAAGGUGAUAUGAACCGUUAUAACCGGCGAUACCCGAAUGGGGAAACCCAGUGUGAUUCGUCACACUAUCAUUAACUGAAUCCAUAGGUUAAUGAGGCGAACCGGGGGAACUGAAACAUCUAAGUACCCCGAGGAAAAGAAAUCAACCGAGAUUCCCCCAGUAGCGGCGAGCGAACGGGGAGGAGCCCAGAGCCUGAAUCAGCAUGUGUGUUAGUGGAAGCGUCUGGAAAGGCGCGCGAUACAGGGUGACAGCCCCGUACACAAAAGCGCAUGUGCUGUGAGCUCGAUGAGUAGGGCGGGACACGUGGUAUCCUGUCUGAAUAUGGGGGGACCAUCCUCCAAGGCUAAAUACUCCUGACUGACCGAUAGUGAACCAGUACCGUGAGGGAAAGGCGAAAAGAACCCCGGCGAGGGGAGUGAAAAAGAACCUGAAACCGUGUACGUACAAGCAGUGGGAGCACAGGUUUACCUGUGUGACUGCGUACCUUUUGUAUAAUGGGUCAGCGACUUAUAUUCUGUAGCAAGGUUAACCGAAUAGGGGAGCCGGAGGGAAACCGAGUCUUAAUUGGGCGUUAAGUUGCAGGGUAUAGACCCGAAACCCGGUGAUCUAGCCAUGGGCAGGUUGAAGGUUGGGUAACACUAACUGGAGGACCGAACCGACUAAUGUUGAAAAAUUAGCGGAUGACCUGUGGCUGGGGGUGAAAGGCCAAUCAAACCGGGAGAUAGCUGGUUCUCCCCGAAAGCUAUUUAGGUAGCGCCUCGUGAAUUCAUCUCCGGGGGUAGAGCACUGUUUCGGCUAGGGGGCCAUCCCGGCUUACCAACCCGAUGCAAACUGCGAAUACCGGAGAAUGUUAUCACGGGAGACACACGGCGGGUGCUAACGUCCGUCGUGAAGAGGGAAACAACCCAGACCGCCAGCUAAGGUCCCAAAGUCAUGGUUAAGUGGGAAACGAUGUGGGAAGGCCCAGACAGCCAGGAUGUUGGCUUAGAAGCAGCCAUCAUUUAAAGAAAGCGUAAUAGCUCACUGGUCGAGUCGGCCUGCGCGGAAGAUGUAACGGGGCUAAACCAUGCACCGAAGCUGCGGCAGCGACGCUUAUGCGUUGUUGGGUAGGGGAGCGUUCUGUAAGCCUGCGAAGGUGGCCUGUGAGGGUUGCUGGAGGUAUCAGAAGUGCGAAUGCUGACAUAAGUAACGAUAAAGCGGGUGAAAAGCCCGCUCGCCGGAAGACCAAGGGUUCCUGUCCAACGUUAAUCGGGGCAGGGUGAGUCGACCCCUAAGGCGAGGCCGAAAGGCGUAGUCGAUGGGAAACGGGUUAAUAUUCCCGUACUUGGUGUUACUGCGAAGGGGGGACGGAGAAGGCUAUGUUGGCCGGGCGACGGUUGUCCCGGUUUAAGCGUGUAGGUGUGUGUUCCAGGUAAAUCCGGUUCACUUUAACACUGAGGCGUGACGACGAGGCACUACGGUGCUGAAGCAACAAAUGCCCUGCUUCCAGGAAAAGCCUCUAAGCAUCAGGUAACAUCAAAUCGUACCCCAAACCGACACAGGUGGUCAGGUAGAGAAUACCAAGGCGCUUGAGAGAACUCGGGUGAAGGAACUAGGCAAAAUGGUGCCGUAACUUCGGGAGAAGGCACGCUGACACGUAGGUGAAGUGAUUUACUCAUGGAGCUGAAGUCAGUCGAAGAUACCAGCUGGCUGCAACUGUUUAUUAAAAACACAGCACUGUGCAAACACGAAAGUGGACGUAUACGGUGUGACGCCUGCCCGGUGCCGGAAGGUUAAUUGAUGGGGUCAGCGCAAGCGAAGCUCCUGAUCGAAGCCCCGGUAAACGGCGGCCGUAACUAUAACGGUCCUAAGGUAGCGAAAUUCCUUGUCGGGUAAGUUCCGACCUGCACGAAUGGCGUAAUGAUGGCCAGGCUGUCUCCACCCGAGACUCAGUGAAAUUGAACUCGCUGUGAAGAUGCAGUGUACCCGCGGCAAGACGGAAAGACCCCGUGAACCUUUACUAUAGCUUGACACUGAACAUUGAGCCUUGAUGUGUAGGAUAGGUGGGAGGCUUUGAAGUGUGGACGCCAGUCUGCAUGGAGCCGACCUUGAAAUACCACCCUUUAAUGUUUGAUGUUCUAACGUGGACCCGUUACCCGGGUUGCGGACAGUGUCUGGUGGGUAGUUUGACUGGGGCGGUCUCCUCCUAAAGAGUAACGGAGGAGCACGAAGGUUGGCUAAUCCUGGUCGGACAUCAGGAGGUUAGUGCAAUGGCAUAAGCCAGCUUGACUGCGAGCGUGACGGCGCGAGCAGGUGCGAAAGCAGGUCAUAGUGAUCCGGUGGUUCUGAAUGGAAGGGCCAUCGCUCAACGGAUAAAAGGUACUCCGGGGAUAACAGGCUGAUACCGCCCAAGAGUUCAUAUCGACGGCGGUGUUUGGCACCUCGAUGUCGGCUCAUCACAUCCUGGGGCUGAAGUAGGUCCCAAGGGUAUGGCUGUUCGCCAUUUAAAGUGGUACGCGAGCUGGGUUUAGAACGUCGUGAGACAGUUCGGUCCCUAUCUGCCGUGGGCGCUGGAGAACUGAGGGGGGCUGCUCCUAGUACGAGAGGACCGGAGUGGACGCAUCACUGGUGUUCGGGUUGUCAUGCCAAUGGCACUGCCCGGUAGCUAAAUGCGGAAGAGAUAAGUGCUGAAAGCAUCUAAGCACGAAACUUGCCCCGAGAUGAGUUCUCCCUGAGACUUAAAGUCUCCUGAAGGAACGUUGAAGACGACGACGUUGAUAGGCCGGGUGUGUAAGCGCAGCGAUGCGUUGAGCUAACCGGUACUAAUGAACCGUGAGGCUUAACC
RNAcentral lists this ribosomal RNA (2897 nucleotides) under Salmonella enterica. Its description in RNAcentral is "bacterial LSU rRNA". It matches the Rfam family "Bacterial large subunit ribosomal RNA". Lineage: Bacteria; Pseudomonadati; Pseudomonadota; Gammaproteobacteria; Enterobacterales; Enterobacteriaceae. The record is from RNAcentral.